This 484-nucleotide ribosomal RNA is filed under the name uncultured Arcobacter sp. RNAcentral's name for it is "bacterial SSU rRNA". It matches the Rfam family "Bacterial small subunit ribosomal RNA", at positions 900 to 1382 of the family's 1533-position model. Lineage: Bacteria; Pseudomonadati; Campylobacterota; Epsilonproteobacteria; Campylobacterales; Arcobacteraceae. The record is from RNAcentral.
CUCAAAUGAAUUGACGGGGACCCGCACAAGCGGUGGAGCAUGUGGUUUAAUUCGACGAUACGCGAAGAACCUUACCUGGCCUUGACAUACUAAAAAGCUUUAAGAGAUUAGAGUGUGCUAGCUUGCUAGAAUUUAGAUACAGGUGCUGCACGGCUGUCGUCAGCUCGUGUCGUGAGAUGUUGGGUUAAGUCCCGCAACGAGCGCAACCUCGUGUUUAGUUGCUAACAGUUCGGCUGAGAACUCUAAACAGACUGCCUACGCAAGUAGGAGGAAGGUGAGGACGACGUCAAGUCAUCAUGGCCCUUACGGCCAGGGCUACACACGUGCUACAAUGGGGUAUACAAAGAGCAGCGAUACGGUGACGUGGAGCAAAUCUAGAAAAUGCCUCUCAGUUCGGAUUGUAGUCUGCAACUCGACUACAUGAAGUUGGAAUCGCUAGUAAUCGUAGAUCAGCAAUGCUACGGUGAAUACGUUCCCGGGUCUU